AUACUUACCUGGCAGGAGAGGCAUGAUCUAGUGGGUGCGUUUCCUAAGGCGAGUCUUAACCAUUGCACAAACCCGGUUUUGAUGACCUUUAUGAAUUCCCCAAAUGUGGGAAUCUCAACUGCAAAAUUUCUGGUAGUGGGGGACUGCGUACGUGCUCGCCCCUG
Molecule: non-coding RNA, 164 nt
Organism: Nerophis lumbriciformis (worm pipefish)
Lineage: Eukaryota; Metazoa; Chordata; Actinopteri; Syngnathiformes; Syngnathidae
Source: RefSeq, a predicted model, not a curated record